GCUCCAGUGGUGCAAUUGGUUAGCACAUGGUACUACUAAUACCAGGGUUGUGAGUUCAAGUCUCACCUGGAGCA
This is a non-coding RNA of Otolemur garnettii (small-eared galago), 74 nucleotides long. Lineage: Eukaryota; Metazoa; Chordata; Mammalia; Primates; Galagidae. The record is from the annotation of a RefSeq genome assembly.